Triticum dicoccoides is the source of this 3622-nucleotide long non-coding RNA. RefSeq lists it as uncharacterized. The transcript is spliced from 12 exons. Lineage: Eukaryota; Viridiplantae; Streptophyta; Magnoliopsida; Poales; Poaceae. The record is from RefSeq and is a predicted model, not a curated record.
UCAGGCAUCCCGGAGAAGGCAGGGGCUGCCGAGAAGAAGAAUGCGCCGACCAUCUACUACGUCGUGACGCACUCUCAGAUAACCCAGGUGGUCCGGGAGCUGCGCAAGAUGAUGGCCAUCUUGGCCUCAAGGAAGCACUAUUGCGUCAAUAAGGCCGUAUGCAUGGCGUUGAUGAGGAAUGCAAAAAGCUCCUAGACGACAAAGUUCAUGGAUGCCCAGAAUUCAAAAACUGAAUCGUCGCCCAUCUCUUCAGACCGAUGGCUGCUAUGAAGUUCAUGAUAUUGAGGAUCUUCCUAGGGUUGGAAGACAGGUCAAAGGAUGUCCAUAUUUUGCUGCACAAACCAUGGCAAAAGCAGUCGAAUUGUCAGGAGAGCAAUGGACAUUGAUAUCACUGGCUCAAUUGUUAUUCUCGAUGAAGCGCAUGGAGUGGAGUCGGCCAUCUGGAUGUUUGCAGAUCAGUCGAAGAAGAGAGGAAGGAUCUUGAGGAAGAGUCAAGAACAAGGUGAACAUCUUGCCCGUCGCAACCCGACGGCUGAGGCGGCAAUGAGCAGCGCCCAGCUGGAAGAGGCCGUCAACCUUGAUAUUUUCUUCAGUUUGGUAUUGGCCAAAAUUCUGUAUCCCUGAUUGCUCUACACUUACUGCUCCGGUGAGUUCUUCCCCCAUUUUCCUCUUUGAUUCCUUGCUUCCGUUGUUCAACAUGAUCUACUUUCUAAGUUUAUCAAGAUUUUGGUGGCGUAGCUGGUUUACAGGCUAUAAUUUUAUUUCAACCAAGUGUAUGUGCUAUGAUAUUAAGGUUACUGGGACAAAUGGUGUUUCUGUAAGGCUAGACCUAUUUCUUCUCUUCCUAAAUCAGUGAUGCACUAAUUAUCUUAACUAUUCUAUGAAUCUCGUCUAUCAUCCGACGAACAAAGCUUGCGGCGCAUGUUUGAGUUUAUUCCAAUUGUUGCACAAUUUGUUCUUCUGGAAAAGUCGUUGCAGAAUUUUAAUGGCGUCAUAUUUCCUUUAGAGAAAUCUUCUACUGAAUUUUUAUUUCCCUGAUACAUGCUUAUCAUUUUUUUGCCAUACAUGCUUAUCAUUUGGCAUAAUGUUAUUUUGGACACUUAAUUUUUUCUUGUCUUCCACAUUUUAAUUCAAGGAGCAGUGGUAGAGUUUGCAAUCUAUUGUGGCCUUGCACCUCUUCUAAUCUGUUGCUGGAGAAUGAUCCUAGGCCUCAUUAGUUAGCUUGAUGUAUUUUUUAGGAUACGCUUGAGGCUUGCGUCUGCUUUUACGUGUAUUUACUGUUGUCUUUGGAAAUCUGAUUUCGGCAAAUCCACUGGAUUUGGAGCAACGUUCAGAGGUAGGCACAACACAAGCAUGUUUAGUUGUUUGACAAUUUUGUUUGUUUUUCUGAUUGAAGAUGGAUGCUAACUACUUGAUUCUAAGGUGAUUCGAGUCGCUUGAUAAAAGUAGAUGCAGAUUAUCUGCACUUAUCUCAUACUGAUGCUUCCCUUUCUAAAAGCAAGUGAAUCCGGUCAUUCCUGCCAAGAUAUAUUUUAGGUUACACUAACCUGACCGUAUUGACCGUAUAUACUACUGGCAUACAAAAUUGAUUAGGUGGUGACACAAUGUCCCUUAUUAAGUGUUGCUGUACCUACUGCUAAAUUAACCAUGCACAGUGACACAAUGAUGUGUUUGAUCUUCGAAUGUUUCUUCACUCUGAAACCCAGGUUAGACUUGUCCCCUGUUAAAUCUGUGGUUAUACCUUCUGCUAAAUUAAGCAUGCACUUUCAUUUGCUCUAUUAUAUUCUCCAAAUGAAAACGGAUAGACGAAUUCUAAAUGGUCGUAAAACUCUAGGGUAAAUCUUUGCUGGGUCAUAUGUGAAUUUGGCCUCCAGUCAUUUACUUAGGUUUCUGGAUUUGCUUGGAUUAUGGAAAGUUUAGCUCACGAGUGUAGCCACUUCGCCAUUUGUUUAUUUGAUCGAAUAACUUGUAUCUAUUUCUUUUUUAACAAGAUCGUGCUGCUCUUGAUUAUUUGCUUUAUGUUUUUGAUUGAGCCGAGCGAGGAGAACCAACACUAUUUAGCUUUUGGGGUCUCUGUUUCAAAUGACUCGACGUGGCCUUGGCGACACUGGCUUGUAUAGGAAGAGGAUGCUGAUGACUCCUGCUAGAGAGCUCAUCGACGACUGCAACAAGCAGUCCCAAGGGAAAAGGAGCGAUCACCCCACCAAACUUUUUUGGUCGAUCUGGGGGAGGAGCUGGACCGAACGAUUCGCCCCAGGCCCCCACGCGAAUAGUUGCCCUGCAGGCAAAAACAAAACUUUGACUAGGCCUUUACAACCUCCAAUUAGGCUAAAAAAUGGCCCUGUUUUUUGUGACGCCUCAACACUUGGAUCAUCGCUCGAGGUUAUCGCUUUUGAGUUUCAGAUCCAUUUAUCAAGGAUGACUCUGCUUGAUGUCGCCGCAUACCAGCAGAAGAUAAAGCUUAGCCAUAGACUGGAAGACUGGGGCUAUAUAGAUUGCUUUCUAAAACCAAUGCAGAUCACCCUGCUGAAGAAGAAGGAGAGGAAGUUAGAAAUCAGUUUUCAGUUUUACAGGUGCAAAAUCAACUCAUUCCACUGUAAUACUGGACAUCCAGAUGUCCAGGAUGUCGGAAGCAUCCGCGUUGCAUUCAUGAAUCUGACAUACACAUAUAACCUACAUGGUGCUACUUAAAAUUUGUGAAUGGUUUGUCGGCAUGUUACUGGGAUUUAGAGGCAGAAAAGUCUUACUCCUAACUACAUGGAGUUCUCAAUAAAUUAUUCUUGUCAUUUUUUCGAGGUGAUGUUCGCUCCGGUUCCUCCUUCUCUACCCAGCAGUAUGGGUAACUCAAAGCAUAGAUCUGAUUGUGCUUCUUGCAGUCUAUGCUUCCUAUCUCCGGGUCAUCCGCCUCCCAAAGACUACUCCGAGGAGAAUCGAAAUAACAGUCAGUCGUGGAUGGAUUAGAAUGGAAUACUUAUUACCUUGGUGACAAUGUCGGGCGGGCGUUGAAUCGUGGACAUGUCCCCCAUGGAUCUAGGCGGCUGGGCGAACAGAUGGACCGAGCUCCCUCCUCUGCCCAAGAAGCAGCCGAGCUCCCUCCUACGCCCAAGAAGCAGCCGAACUCCCUCCUCCGCCCAAGAAGCAGUCGAGCUCCCUCCUCCGCCCAAGAAGCAGCCGAACUCCCUCCUCCACCCAAGAAGCAGCCGAGCUCCCUCCUCCGCCCAAGAAGCAGCCAGGGAAGCAGCACCGACGACCGGAACAACAUGGCGGAUCCAAAUCGCCAGUCUCCUCUGUCCAGAGCUGAACUGAGUGGCUGCCCCCAUGAGAGGACACGGGCACAACCAAACCCACACACACCAGACACGCGUGCAUGGUGGCUUAUCCGGUGGGAGACUACCGCUUGCUCCCGCUGAACCAUUGUGUCCCACAACGCUUGCACCUGUCCACCCGUGAACGCGGUGUCCCACUGCCGCUUGCACCUGCCCACCUGUGAACUGCCGCUUGCACCCGUGAAUGUUGUGGCUCACCUGGAAAAUGCAUAUCUGAGCGCUCGCAGGUGCCAGCCAUCUAUUCCAAGGGGAGAAAAAAAACUCUACUCCCAAGGAGUUUUUCUUUUCUUUCUAAA